Triticum dicoccoides is the source of this 1743-nucleotide long non-coding RNA. RefSeq lists it as uncharacterized. The record is from RefSeq and is a predicted model, not a curated record. The transcript is spliced from 4 exons. NCBI's taxonomy places the organism in Eukaryota, Viridiplantae, Streptophyta, Magnoliopsida, Poales, Poaceae.
ACGAAAAUUAAUUUUCAUCUAAUGCAUUUCGUAUUGUAAAUGUUGAUGUCUUUUCAUAUAAAAUUGGUCAAAAUUUACUAAGUUUGACUUCAAACAAAUUUCAUAUGCAAACUAAAAAGAAACAGAAGGAGCACCGAUGAUGAGAAUAAACGAUGAUUUUAAAAGAAAAGAAUAGAAUAGAACCUAGCAGAGAACCUGUCCGGCCCCAGAUCAUCCAGAGUGUCAUCUUCGUGAACGCCCACUGCUAGGUACUUCACAGAUCCGCACACACUUUGCAAGGCCAAACUGAAGAAAGGUGUUCUCUACCGUGGAUCUACCACUCUUACAAAAAUGCUGACGGAUCUUGCAGUAGAAUUCAGCCACACGACAACAACACGGUUCAGCCACAGGCACACAAGGAGAACUUCUGACUUCUAAGUUCAGGCCAACAAGCAGUUCUAGGAGCUCUGCAGGUGCCAUCAGGAGCAGGGGAGAGGCGGCUGUAGCGACGUAUCCCGGCCGGAUCCGUGCGUGCUGGAGGCCGGGAAGGUGAUCGGAUCUAGAGUCCAUGGAGGAGACUUGCUCGGAUACACGGCCUUGCCGGCCACGGACUCCACAUGAACCGCCCUCCUUUUACCACAUAUAAAUAGGCCUCGAGCCCUCUACCGAAGCAUCCAAUCUUGGGGUCGUACAAUCUCGCCGUUCUACAACUCCGCCGACCGAAGUGCUCCAUACGCCGUCGUACAAUCUCGCCGUUCCACUAACAUCGCCGGACCGCCAGUGCUCCACCUGAGGUACGCCUGGUCUGGCUAAAUUCGGUUCUGUUGUUUUGAAAAAGACAUGAUCUUUCCUGUGUGUAUGCACUCUGCAACCAUAUAUGUCAUCGUUACCGACUGGAGCUGCCGCAAGAUCUUCUGCUUUGUACUCUGAAAGUUUGCUUGAGUUCACUUUUCAAAGCUAGCUACGGUACUGGAUGCUGGAAGGCCAAUCUGGCAUAAAGAGAGUGAAUAAUAUAUGCCAUGUUCUCUAUUACCUGAUCAGAUUGAUGUUGAUCCAUUGACAUGACCUCCGCCGCCAACCAACUCGACAUUAUAUACCUCUGGUUUCUGAAUGUAUGAAUGAAAGAAAAUUUUAUUCGAUGAUGAUAAGCAAUCAGGGGAAUAUGAACAAACAAAAGUUGAUGAAACAUACGACUACCUCCCACUAGAUUAUGAAAAAACAAUUACUGGCGAAGAUAGAUGAAAUAUAUGUCAAACAACAUCAACUGGUGUGCCUGCUAGAUGAAAAGGGGCAGCUAAACGAGUACCCUUACUUACAAGGAAAAGUUCAAUUAUUGAUAUCCAUUAGUAAUGUCAGCAUGACAUGGUAACAUCCAUAUCCAUAAUUUUCAUGUUCUGGGUCCAAUAUAUAUUUAUUAGUAAUUUUACUAAUUAUCUUGAUUAUAGAAUGACCUUCCAAUAAAUAUGAACAACACAUUGCUAUUUAACUGUUGUGAACACAAAAAAAUGUGAGAUUACAAUACUUGACUUAUUGUGUUCGGAGUUUGACCGAGAUGAUCUCACUAUUACGGCUGGUUACUACAUCACUUCUGAUCCUCUAUAUGAAAUGUCAUAAACUGAUCCUUCGCUUAUGUGUAUUAUUUCCGAUGACAUAUUUCAGCUACAUGGACUACAAUAUCAAUUGGACAUUUUUAAAAGUCAUAACUUGAUAAGCCACAACCUGAAAGACUUCGACGUUACUAAAUGGAAGAUCACAAAACAAUUA